UAGGAGACCACAUCCUUGGGCCUCAGUUUCCCUGUCUGUAAAGUAAGAAGAACAAUCCCAAGGCUAUUGUUGGGGGGCGGAGGGGGGGGUGGACAGAAGGAAGAUGGUCCAAUUAAGUAGAACCAGGAAACCAUCUGCCAUAAAGCCGGGCCAGCUGGGCUAUAAAAAUAUUUUCAGGGGCUCCGGGUGCUGAUGCAAAGAGAGAAAACGGCAAGACAGGGAAUUGGUAACAACAACUCCAGGUAACUCUCCUUUUUAAUUAGAGGAGUCUCGGCCCCAGCAGCCAGCGGCCCGAAAGGCAACAAAGUCUCCUCUGACCACGUCUGCACUUGGCCAUAACGGGGGUAUACUCAGGCCUCCCUGCUCCGCGCUGCGUCAUCCAUUAGAAAACAAAAAAGCGAGUCAAGUCCUGGGUUGGGACCACCUUGGUGCCAGUGUAACGGGAGCUGGGCAAGAGCCCUCGAAGGUCACUGCUAUGUGACUGCUUUGGGAACGAGGCUGUUGUGUUGUUCAGCAAAAGCCCUGUACUUCUGUAAGUGAGCAGGUGAGCACAUCUUCUAACGAGGUCCCUUUGCU
This 576-nucleotide long non-coding RNA is filed under the name Mustela putorius furo (domestic ferret). Its description in RNAcentral is "lncRNA (ENSMPUG00000027430.1)". Lineage: Eukaryota; Metazoa; Chordata; Mammalia; Carnivora; Mustelidae. The record is from RNAcentral.